GCCGCCUUAGCUCAAUGGUAGAGCACCGGAUUUGUAAUCCGUAGGUUGGGGGUUCGAAUCCCCUGGGCGGCUCCA
This 75-nucleotide transfer RNA is filed under the name Candidatus Latescibacterota bacterium. Its description in RNAcentral is "tRNA-Thr". It matches the Rfam family "tRNA". Rfam says of the family: Transfer RNA (tRNA) molecules are approximately 80 nucleotides in length. Their secondary structure includes four short double-helical elements and three loops (D, anti-codon, and T loops). Lineage: Bacteria; Pseudomonadati; Candidatus Latescibacterota. The record is from RNAcentral.